UUUCCAGUUUCUAGAGGACCACAAGCUGUCAUAAACCCGUAUCCAUAAACCAGCUGUCCCAAGAUCAUGCUAAAAUUCCCGGCACUCAAGUUCAGUCAAUUUGCAUUUGACACGUGCCUCGUUGUAACCGUACGCACUGAGCUAUGUAAUGAGAGGCGGCUGUAUGAACGGCUGAUUGUCUCCUAGAGUUGAUGCAUUCUGCUGGGAGGGCAGAAGGUGAAGAUCCCAGUGCUGUUACACCUGAGGCAGCUGGUUAAACCCCUUCAGCUGUGGAAGUUACGACACCGCCUCCUCUGACAGGAGCAAACUCCUGAUUGAGCUGCGCUUUUGUGCGCCGUCAUUAUCGUUAAGUAAGCUGCUGUCUCCCUGCCUAAUGAAGACUGAGAUCAUUCAAGCAGGACAUUAUGAAUAAGACAGGUCUGUUGAUAUAAAGAAAUAUACUGAGCAGAUACAGUCCUGAGACCCUGGCCCUGUUUUGUUUACACCUGUUCCUGGUUUUUAACACAGCAUGACAGGCAUCCCGCCAGGAAAUUAGCUAAAGAUAAACACCUCAGCAAGCAGAUGCCUGCUGGGGGAAAAAGUGUGGAAGGUGGAAAACAGUAUAAGAUUUUCGAGUCAUUUCAGCAGCUAUGAGAUUUACAUCCCCAAAAAGAUCCAGGUGUUUCUUCAACUAUGGCCACGUUUGGCCAUGUAGAAAAUAAAACUCAUAAAAUGCUGUUUGCACUCCCUCACCAGUAUAAUUUAUGUGGACAGACAUGCAUCAUGGGGGAUUUAUCUUUUUUUUUUUUUUUUUUUUACAAUAGUCACCAGAAUUUAAUUUCUACCACAUCUUUAAUGGCACUCUGUAAUUAAAAUAACAGUGGAUAUUACUUUAUAAAUAAAUAAUUACUUAUGAUAAAUCAAAUGGAUGUCUCUUUAUCAAUUAGCUGUCACACCUCAAGGACCUGUUUUGUUGUGUUUCCUACCCCAUGUGCUCUGUGUGACCUAAUUUUGCCUCAUGUCUGAUUAUUGUCAUUUUGGCUCAGGUGUGUGUCAUUAAUUACCCUCAUCAACCCUCCUAAGUUGUGUUCAGUUCACUGUUUGUCAUUCAGUCUACUAUGUCCAUACUUUGUGCUACGUGUGUGUUCCUGCCUGUAUGUAUUGGAAUUACCCUCUUGUGGAUUAAUUAAAGACUAUUUGCCGGGGCUUGAGCCCCUGUCCCUUAAUUGCCGAUGCUAAAGUGCCCUUUCAGUCCGGUCCAUGUGUCCCCGACCACGAUUUCUACCGAGGGGGAUUAACCACCAACCGCAACGUUCCUUAGGAGCUCUGUGAGCUCUGUGAAUGCCACUAAAUGUAAUUCAUAUUUUUAUGAUGCAUAUAUUAUAAUUUGAAGUUUCAAAUUCUUGUCUGGGGUAUGAGAAAAGUUUCCAAGAUAAUGACCUUAAAGGGUUACUCCACCCAAAAAUGAAAAUGUUGUCGUUAAUUACUUUUAAUUACCCCCAUGUUCUUCCAA
Molecule: long non-coding RNA, 1492 nt
Organism: Cyprinus carpio (common carp)
Lineage: Eukaryota; Metazoa; Chordata; Actinopteri; Cypriniformes; Cyprinidae
Exons: 3
Source: RefSeq, a predicted model, not a curated record